This 60-nucleotide small RNA is filed under the name Sinorhizobium meliloti 2011. RNAcentral describes it as "putative ncRNA". The record is from RNAcentral. Lineage: Bacteria; Pseudomonadati; Pseudomonadota; Alphaproteobacteria; Hyphomicrobiales; Rhizobiaceae.
GUUUCGCCGUCGCUUGCGGUGCUCGACCAGCCCGUUGCGGUCGAGCACCGCGUGCACGGU